UGGGGAAUAUUGGGCAAUGGGCGCAAGCCUGACCCAGCAACGCCGCGUGAGGGAAGAAGGCUUUCGGGUUGUAAACCUCUGUCCUUGGUGACGAAACAAAUGACGGUAGCCAAGGAGGAAGCCCCGGCUAACUACGUGCCAGCAGCCGCGGUAAUACGUAGGGGGCGAGCGUUGUCCGGAAUUACUGGGCGUAAAGGGUGCGUAGGUGGCCUUUUAAGUUGGAUGUGAAAUACCCGGGCUUAACCUGGGGGGUGCAUCUAAUACUGGGAGGCUAGAGUGCAGGAGAGGAAAGCGGAAUUCCUAGUGUAGCGGUGAAAUGCGUAGAUAUUAGGAGGAACACCAGUGGCGAAGGCGGCUUUCUGGACUGUAACUGACACUGAGGCACGAAAGCGUGGGGAGC
RNAcentral lists this ribosomal RNA (400 nucleotides) under uncultured bacterium. RNAcentral describes it as "bacterial SSU rRNA". It matches the Rfam family "Bacterial small subunit ribosomal RNA", at positions 355 to 769 of the family's 1533-position model. The record is from RNAcentral.